UGGAAGUAUUACAUUUGAGAUGCUUGAGAUAUCCACAUGAUACUUUUCUUUUAUUCACCCAUUAUGAUUAAUUGCAUUAGUUGAUAUUGUGUGUGUGUGUGUGUGUGUGUGUGUGUGUGUGUGUGUGUGGUGCUGGGAACUGAACAUAAGACAUCAUGCAAACUAGGCAAGGGCUCAUCCAC
This 182-nucleotide small RNA is filed under the name Marmota monax (woodchuck). The record is from RNAcentral. Lineage: Eukaryota; Metazoa; Chordata; Mammalia; Rodentia; Sciuridae.